UCGAAUGUGUUUAAUUUUUAUUUUUAAUUUCGUCAGUUGCAUUCACAAACAAAACCAAUUUCACAACCCCCCCCCACCACUGCGUGUCUGACCUAAUUCUCGAACCACAUUUGGUCUUUGAGAGACGACCUAGGGGUCAUUCCCUAGCUAUACUGCACUUUAAAAUGCGCAUUAAAUUUGAUUGGGUGGCGACACCCAUCACACUGCUCUCUUGGCCACUCAGUCCCUAGAAAGGCGUUAAUGGUAUCAGAAUCAUAGUUGAUCAAGUGUCCACGCACAUAGCUCAUGUAUCUCCCUGCAGACACUCCUCCUCUCGGCAAAGCGUUGGUGUAAAACUCCUUCACCAACUCAAUACUAGCUGGUGUUGGAUAAGUCGUCAGUCUCUCCUAACCUCGCCUCUCAAUCUCCAAACCAAACUUUGGAGCUAGGUCAGGGAUGUACAUAGCCUUCCUCUCCAUUAGAAAACGCCUCUCCUGGACUAUAACAUAAUGUUCUUCAUGUUUCCUUGAAAGGAACCUCGAAGAAUAGUAUCUCCUACGUCUCUCCGGUUCCUUCCUUUCGUUGCCCAUUGUCAUAACUCUUCUUGAAGUAGACAUUCCUGCAUAAAUCAAAUUCAUCCA
RNAcentral lists this long non-coding RNA (620 nucleotides) under Vigna radiata. RNAcentral describes it as "long non-coding RNA (VRAD_LNC015891)". Lineage: Eukaryota; Viridiplantae; Streptophyta; Magnoliopsida; Fabales; Fabaceae. The record is from RNAcentral.